AAUUAGGGCAUAUAUAAUAUAUGAAGUGGGCUGCACAAACACCAUGUGCUUGACAUAUUCAUUCUCCAAUCUCUCAAGCAUGCUCUAUGAUCUUGGGAUUGGAACCUUGGGAUCUAUUGGUAACAGAUCUUCCUCUGAUCCUUGUACAUGAGACUGCAGUUUUUCUUAAAAGAGGGUUUGCAGUUUAGAGAUUAUUAAUUUUACUACAAACUUAUGAGCACCAUAACCAUAUAGGAGUAGUAAAAUGUUGACUGUUUUUUCAGUGCCAUUAUGUGCUCGAAUAUUUUCUAACAAGCACUCUUGUGCAUGAUUUUUUUU
Molecule: long non-coding RNA, 318 nt
Filed under: Sorghum bicolor (sorghum)
Lineage: Eukaryota; Viridiplantae; Streptophyta; Magnoliopsida; Poales; Poaceae
Description: long non-coding RNA (SBIC_LNC017012)
Source: RNAcentral